This 1359-nucleotide ribosomal RNA is filed under the name uncultured bacterium. Its description in RNAcentral is "bacterial SSU rRNA". It matches the Rfam family "Bacterial small subunit ribosomal RNA", at positions 28 to 1381 of the family's 1533-position model. The record is from RNAcentral.
GAUGAACGCUAGCUACGGGCUUAACACAUGCAAGUCGAGGGGCAUCAGGAAGAAAGCUUGCUUUCUUUGCUGGCGACCGGCGCACGGGUGAGUAACACGUAUCCAACCUGCCCUUUACUCGGGGAUAGCCUUUCGAAAGAAAGAUUAAUACCCGAUAGCAUAAUGAUUCCGCAUGGUUUCAUUAUUAAAGGAUUCCGGUAAAGGAUGGGGAUGCGUUCCAUUAGGUUGUUGGUGAGGUAACGGCCCACCAAGCCUUCGAUGGAUAGGGGUUCUGAGAGGAAGGUCCCUCACAUUGGAACUGAGACACGGUCCAAACUCCUACGGGAGGCAGCAGUGAGGAAUAUUGGUCAAUGGGCGCUAGCCUGAACCAGCCAAGUAGCGUGAAGGAUGAAGGCUCUAUGGGUCGUAAACUUCUUUUAUAUAAGAAUAAAGUGCAGUAUGUAUACUGUUUUGUAUGUAUUAUAUGAAUAAGGAUCGGCUAACUCCGUGCCAGCAGCCGCGGUAAUACGGAGGAUCCGAGCGUUAUCCGGAUUUAUUGGGUUUAAAGGGAGCGUAGGUGGACUGGUAAGUCAGUUGUGAAAGUUUGCGGCUCAACCGUAAAAUUGCAGUUGAUACUGUCAGUCUUGAGUACAGUAGAGGUGGGCGGAAUUCGUGGUGUAGCGGUGAAAUGCUUAGAUAUCACGAAGAACUCCGAUUGCGAAGGCAGCUCACUGGACUGCAACUGACACUGAUGCUCGAAAGUGUGGGUAUCAAACAGGAUUAGAUACCCUGGUAGUCCACACAGUAAACGAUGAAUACUCGCUGUUUGCGAUAUACAGUAAGCGGCCAAGCGAAAGCAUUAAGUAUUCCACCUGGGGAGUACGCCGGCAACGGUGAAACUCAAAGGAAUUGACGGGGGCCCGCACAAGCGGAGGAACAUGUGGUUUAAUUCGAUGAUACGCGAGGAACCUUACCCGGGCUUAAAUUGCAGUGGAAUGAUGUGGAAACAUGUCAGUGAGCAAUCACCGCUGUGAAGGUGCUGCAUGGUUGUCGUCAGCUCGUGCCGUGAGGUGUCGGCUUAAGUGCCAUAACGAGCGCAACCCUUAUCUUCAGUUACUAACAGGUCAUGCUGAGGACUCUGGAGAGACUGCCGUCGUAAGAUGUGAGGAAGGUGGGGAUGACGUCAAAUCAGCACGGCCCUUACGUCCGGGGCUACACACGUGUUACAAUGGGGGGUACAGAAGGCAGCUAGCGGGUGACCGUAUGCUAAUCCCAAAAUCCUCCCUCAGUUCGGAUCGAAGUCUGCAACCCGACUUCGUGAAGCUGGAUUCGCUAGUAAUCGCGCAUCAGCCACGGCGCGGUGAAUACGUUCCCGGGCCU